RNAcentral lists this transfer RNA (73 nucleotides) under Bos taurus (domestic cattle). It matches the Rfam family "tRNA". Rfam says of the family: Transfer RNA (tRNA) molecules are approximately 80 nucleotides in length. Their secondary structure includes four short double-helical elements and three loops (D, anti-codon, and T loops). Further hydrogen bonds mediate the characteristic L-shaped molecular structure. tRNAs have two regions of fundamental functional importance: the anti-codon, which is responsible for specific mRNA codon recognition, and the 3' end, to which the tRNAs corresponding amino acid is attached (by aminoacyl-tRNA synthetases). tRNAs cope with the degeneracy of the genetic code in two manners: having more than one tRNA (with a specific anti-codon) for a particular amino acid; and 'wobble' base-pairing, i.e. permitting non-standard base-pairing at the 3rd anti-codon position. The record is from Rfam by way of RNAcentral. Lineage: Eukaryota; Metazoa; Chordata; Mammalia; Artiodactyla; Bovidae. RNAcentral also lists the same sequence under 1 other name.
UCCCUGGUGGUCCAGUGGUUAGAACUUGGCAUUGUCACUGCUGAGGGCCUGGUUUCAAUCCCUGGUCAGGGAA